This is a long non-coding RNA of Schistocerca americana (American grasshopper), 809 nucleotides long. RefSeq lists it as uncharacterized. The record is from RefSeq and is a predicted model, not a curated record. The transcript is spliced from 3 exons. Lineage: Eukaryota; Metazoa; Arthropoda; Insecta; Orthoptera; Acrididae.
UCGUGUUGUGCGUGUUGGUCAAUGAGAGUAGUAGGAGGAAUUAGGCAAUAAUAAAUCUGUGAAAUCAUCGUCGUGGUAGUUUACCUAGUGCCCGCCUACUUGCGCGGCUGAUUCAAAUUUGUAAUGAACAAGUUAUUCUCACGACAAUUUAGGGAAUCAUUUACAGAAGCUUUGAAUUAUUUCUGUACGAGAAAAAGAUCAUAUAUACUUUUAUAUUAAUAUCUCGUGCAACAAGCGAUUAUUUGGACUAAAGAGCAGUUUUUCAUAACCAGUGCAAAAUGGAACACCGUAAGAAAUUUAUAAGUACAAGUAAACAAGAUAGAAUGGCAAGGCGUUCAUGAUAACUGAACGGGAACCAAUACAUGAAAAGCAGCCAGCGUAAAACGCUUUCUCCUGAGUUAUUUUAUAUUCUGCUUUGAAGAGAUAGCUGUCCCAUGAUGUUUAUAAUGAGAUAUGAAGAACUGCCUAGGAGAAAAUCAGAGAUCACAGCAGGUUAUCAGCUGAAAUCUUGUGAACACUCCCUAUGGCUGCAACACCAUGCAAGGUGACCCUACACCAGUGGGGGCAAGAGACAACAGGAGAAAUGGAUCAUGAAAUAAAACUGUAACUGCAACCUGAGGCUGUUCUACUACUGCUACUACUACUACUACUACUACACCAUGAGGCUGUGUUCCACCCAUCUGCUAUGAUGCUUAUUGAAGAAUAUUUAUUUUUGUCUUGUAAUUUUAUGUGUGCUCAUGCACACUUCAUUUCAUAGUUUUGAUGGUUGUUCUGUGCAUGUUUCACCUCAAUUUACUCAAACCAUUUGU